RNAcentral lists this ribosomal RNA (301 nucleotides) under uncultured bacterium. Its description in RNAcentral is "partial 16S ribosomal RNA". It matches the Rfam family "Bacterial small subunit ribosomal RNA", at positions 509 to 807 of the family's 1533-position model. The record is from RNAcentral.
CAGUCGCCGCGGUAAUACGGAGGGAGCUAGCGUUGUUCGGAAUUACUGGGCGUAAAGCGCACGUAGGCGGCUUUGUAAGUUAGAGGUGAAAGCCUGGAGCUCAACUCCAGAAUUGCCUUUAAGACUGCAUCGCUUGAAUCCAGGAGAGGUGAGUGGAAUUCCGAGUGUAGAGGUGAAAUUCGUAGAUAUUCGGAAGAACACCAGUGGCGAAGGCGGCUCACUGGACUGGUAUUGACGCUGAGGUGCGAAAGCGUGGGGAGCAAACAGGAUUAGAUACCCCCGUAGUCCCUGUCUCUUAUAC